UUCGCAAUGCCCGAAAGGGUGACGAUGCGACGCCGCGUGAGCGAAGAAGGCCCUAGGGUUGUAAAGCUCUGUCGAGGGUUAUGAGAUAUAGAUGGGUUAAUACCCCAUUUAUUUGACAAAAGCCCAAAAGGAAGCCACGGCUAACUCUGUGCCAGCAGCCGCGGUAAUACAGAGGUGGCGAGCGUUGUUCGGUAUUAUUGGGCGUAAAGAGCACGUAGGUGGUUUUGUAAGUCAGGUGUGAAAGCCUUCUGUUCAAAGGAAGAACGGCAUCUGAAACUGCAGAUCUUGAGUGUAGGAGGGGAGAGUGGAACUUCUGGUGGAGCGGUGAAAUGCGUAGAUAUCAGAAGGAACGUCGGCGGCGAAAGCGACUCUCUGGCCUAUUACUGACACUGAGGUGCGAAAGUUAGGGGAGCAAACGGGAUUAGAUACCCCGGUAGUCCUAACCGUAAACGAUGGGCACUAAGUAGAGGGGUUUU
This 476-nucleotide ribosomal RNA is filed under the name uncultured anaerobic ammonium-oxidizing bacterium. RNAcentral's name for it is "bacterial SSU rRNA". It matches the Rfam family "Bacterial small subunit ribosomal RNA", at positions 365 to 832 of the family's 1533-position model. The record is from RNAcentral.